Molecule: long non-coding RNA, 1460 nt
Organism: Amphiprion ocellaris (clown anemonefish)
Lineage: Eukaryota; Metazoa; Chordata; Actinopteri; Pomacentridae
Source: Ensembl
UCUAUUCUAAUCCUUUGCUGUACAUUCAAACCUGAGGCCUGAAAUAGAAACACACAAGUAUCUGAUUGAAGGAACUUCUGCAGAGUCCUGGUUCCAGAACAUGAUGAUAGAAUUAUAGACAAACUUUAACAAAAGCUGUCUGAGAGUUUACAGGUUUUUAUGUUAGAUUUCUUCAGUAAUUUAAUGAACGUUAUCAGCAAAAAUCAAGUGUUCAUUUGAUGAACUUCAUUUCCUAAAACAUCCAGAAUUGGAGCUCAUAUCUUUGGCAGCUGUAAAGUUUCUGCUCCUUCAAAGUUCAAAAUGAAUGAAUUCCUAAAACACUCUCAAUGCUGGAGAGCGUUUGUGAUGCUGAAGCAGUGACCAGUUUUUCUGUUUCUUCUCUGGAGAUGCACAAUGAGGGACGUCUGCAGAGACUGAGAAAGAGUCUCACCACAUCCUGACAUGAGGAAAAAGACUUUAUUGAAGACUACAAUGAGAAAAACUAUCAGACAGCAGAGGGCUGCAUUCAAGGUUUCCCAGAGACUAUGGGUUGAGGAGGAAUUGGAAGUUUGUCGGCUUAGACCUGGUGUCAUUCCAUCAGUGUUAAACUUCCCGGCUCAUCUUGGAAGAGUACGUGCCAGAAAGACCACGACCAAGCAGCCUUGAGAUCUUAGACAGCGUCUCCCUUAGGUCCCUCUCUAUCUCCCCACACAUCCACCAACCACUGGAACACAUCUCCAAAGUUCUGCUGGGCCAGCUGAGCUUCCCCUCAGAAGAAGUGCUGCCACCUGCCAGAUGAAGGAGCCUUUUGAGAGGCAGCUGGCAUCGUGAUUGGACUGUACUUUGGUCUGUUCCAGUCCAGCUUCAGUUCCAGAGACGGCAGGUGGGAUCAGUCAACGGAGGCCUGGUGGACGAAGGCAUGCAGCUGAGUACAAUCCAGAAAACAACAGAGGAGGAGUGCAGCAGCCAGAACAACCAGAGUAGCAUCGUAUGUCUCUUAGAAAACAUCAUAGUAUAGCCUUUGGUAUGAAAAAACGCCAUCAUAUACAUCGUAUAUUGUACAAAUAACAAGUCAAAGGAAAGAGACAUCAACUGUAAAAUUGUAGUAAUUGUGGGCUGACUGAUUUACUGAUUAUCAGUAUUUUAUUUUUGACUGAUUUACGGUAAUAAAUACAUUUAAAAAUGGUGCUACUUUGGCUCUGAACCUUUAUCUACCUGUGGUCGCUCUGUCUUCUGGAGUGAUUUGAUUGGUUAUACGUCACGAAUAAAACUCCUUUAACAUCUGUAAACAAAACAAAAACGUAUCAACAAAGUUUUCUGUUAGAAUUUGUGUUCUUCUAAGUUUAACUCCAAGAUUUUAAAUACUUUCAUUUACUGCAAAUGAAUAUCUACUCCAAAUGUCUCACUAAUAAUCAUUAUCAGCCUUAAAAACCCACAAAACACCCCUCUAUACUCGACCACACUUAGUACAGUCCGGUUCC